Molecule: long non-coding RNA, 226 nt
Filed under: Elaeis guineensis (African oil palm)
Lineage: Eukaryota; Viridiplantae; Streptophyta; Magnoliopsida; Arecales; Arecaceae
Description: long non-coding RNA (EGUI_LNC082965)
Source: RNAcentral
CAUCAUGUGUUCUCCAGCUAACCGUUUCGAUGCCUCUAAUCGCACAGCUCGAUCUAUUUGACAGAUAAAUAGUACCUUCACUAUUCUCCAGAGAGUCAAACUUUUUCUCUCUGCAACAUGCAUGAUAGAUGCAUGCAGAAUCUAAAAUCCAUUACUGAAAAAAAGUAGAUACCUCAUCAGAUAUUUUCAGGACAUCAUCCUCUAACUCGCUACUGACUGUCACUGC